RNAcentral lists this long non-coding RNA (396 nucleotides) under Aquilegia coerulea. RNAcentral's name for it is "long non-coding RNA (ACOE_LNC000660)". The record is from RNAcentral. Lineage: Eukaryota; Viridiplantae; Streptophyta; Magnoliopsida; Ranunculales; Ranunculaceae.
ACUAGAUAUAGUAUAGUCUGCGCCCAAAUUCCGAUCCGUCUUAUACCCUGCACAGAAUUGCAUAAUCUACACGGCUCCUGUGCAAGACCCACAUUUUAAAAGUGCACAUGUUUGUGGGAAAUGGAAGACCUACAAUCUGAGCUUCACAUGUUUGUGUUGAAGUUAGAUUUGAAGCGAAGGAAAAUGAAUCAUUGAUACCUUGCAGUUGUCAUCCAAGACAUGCUAUAGUGGAAUACAAAAGCAAAAAAGAUGAGUAGUGUAGAUGCAUGGCCCUGAGGCUAUACAUUAUAGGACAGAGGCCAGGACUUCUUCAAUUAUAAGAGAGCGUGUUGCGCGUACGUAACAUGCAUAUACACCAGGUCAUACAUGCUCUCUCAGGCCCUUAAGCUUAUGAUU